GGCUGGUUAGCUCAGUUGGUCAGAGCAUGGUCCUAAUAACACCAAGGUCAUGGGUCCAAUACCCAUACUGGCCA
Non-coding RNA from Ataeniobius toweri, 74 nucleotides. NCBI's taxonomy places the organism in Eukaryota, Metazoa, Chordata, Actinopteri, Cyprinodontiformes, Goodeidae. The record is from the annotation of a GenBank genome assembly.